UGGUCUUUCAAUCAUCACUUAAUCGUCCUUUUCUGCCAUUGUUGCGAAACCUUAACUGUUCGCUCUAUUCACUCUCUCUUGUCUUUUGCUCUCUCUGUUUCUGUUCCCUCUCUCUCUCCCUCUGUGUUUGUUUUCAGUGCCAGGAGCUCUGGUUCUGCAAGAAGAGAUUCCGAUUACAGAGCUGCGAGUUUCUUUAGCAAGCACAACAAUUACACACCUCUCUUAUUGGUAUGUUUUUAAUACCCUUUUCUGUGUUUUUAUUAUUUCUGUUAAUGGAUUUUUAUCUGAACGCAAACGCAGAAGGAAAGUUUGGAUCUUUGUUUUUAAUUUCUCUGCAUGACAAGGUGCCUAAGGGUUUGUUUUAGAAUUAGAUAACGUUGUUGAAACCGAGUUCUACAUGCUCUUCAAGUCUUUCUUGAACUUGGGGAUUUUUCACGUUUUGAAUGUCUAUGUGAUGCUAUUCUUGCAAUUGCUCUGUUUCAAUCGUUAAAACUCUGUUUUAGGCUUAGUGUUUAAUAUUUUUUGGUGGUACUGAAGUACAAGUACAUGAAUAAGUAACGCCUAUGUUUGCGUACUGGCUCCUUUGCUACAAGGAAUCGAAGAGAAACGAUUCCUUGCUUCAUACAUAAUUUUAGUUUGGCUUCCUUCCUCUGUAUCAUUAAAAGCUUUUUCUAUCAAUCAUCGCUCCAUUUAUGUAGAUGGGAAUCAAAAUGAUGAACUUCGAGGAAAAUAUGAGAAUCCCUCAAUAAUAUUUUAGUUUUGUUGGAUGGCGACGUGGGUGGGUGGCUAGUAUUGGGCGGUGGGAUAUGAUUAAAUCACCACUUACUAUUUACCUUUAGAAGAAGAGACCUGCUUCUUUGAAAUAUUGAUUAUCCAUGCCAGGAAUUUUAUGCUUUUCUGUCAUUUGGUUUCCAAGUGUUGCCAAUAGUUUUCUAAGGUGGCGUUGGUUUCGUUUCUGUUUCUAUUUUUUAUAUAUAUGUAUACGUAUGCUGCCUUAUCUUUUUUUUUUCUUUUCCUAUCACCUGGUUAUUACAAGACACUUUUGUUACUUUUAUCAUCUGAAAAAUCAAAGGAAAUCUUGGCUUCUGUGUAGAAGAGUGACGUUAUCAUCUUCUCAGAGCUUGCAUGAAAAUUUUGUUUGCCUUCCAUCACUAUUUUCCAGCUGUUUUUGCUUAUGUCUUUUUGAGUCAUGGUUUCUCUAGAUUGAGUCUGUUGUUCCAAAUUAACAAGCUGAUCAGUUAAUGUCACUUUGUUAGUACUAAUUAUCUGAUUAAAUUGGAUUCUUUAUAUCAUGUUGUUCAGAUUAGUUCUUACUUAAUUUGCAGCUGGAUCUUGAUACAGAAGAUACCAUACAAUACAAUUACACCAUUAUCUGAUGAACUAAAUUAAGGAUGAUGUACAAACAAGUGUUUUUAUAUAACGUGAAUCUUGAUUAUGUUUGUUGUUGUCUCAUUCUUUGACUACCAACUUCUACUUUUUCUUCCUUGAGGGGCCUUCUCUGCUAGUGACUACAAUAAAUUAAUGACAAUGACUAGAUAAUUCAAAUCAAAUCAUUCACACAUGAUUUUCGUGGCAUUAAUUAGAUCGAUGCCACCAAUAUUCUAGAAAUAAGGGAUUUUUCCAUUUUAGUUUUAUUCUUGAUCACAAAAUUGAUAAUUAUGGUCAUCAAGAAUUAAUUAGUCAAGAGGUGGGUGAAUGGUUGAUGAAGCAAGUAGGCUUUGUGAUUAGUUGGAUUCUGUGUUGGCCUAAUGCUCACCAACCAUUUACUGUUCCUCUUUCUACAAAAUAGAUAAAUUGCAAGCCUCACAAGUAAGUAGAUUAAGUAGGAAAUUCUACCACUUGAGUAGAUCAAUCUGAUAGUUUAACUCUUUGUGAAUAUUUAGUACUUUGACAUUUUGUAGAUUUGAAGUUUUGAAGAAAUUUAUGCAGAAAGAUUUCUGUAAGACUGAUAUAGUUUUUAUGAUCAAUAUGCUUGCAAGGCAUGGAUUUCUUUAAUGUCUCACAUAUAUAAAUAUUAUAACUCACUAGGAACAUUAAUAUGUGAAAUUCUUACCUCAACCUACGUAUUUAUGACUUGAAUUUAUAAUGAAUUCAGAUAAGUUUUUCCCCAAUAGUAUUCUAUCUAAUUUGUGAUGCUUCUGUGAAACUUAAUGCAAUUUGUAUUUGUUUGGAGAUGUAAUAGUGGGGACCCAUGUUUCAAUUAUUAUAGCCAUCUUGCCCUCUGGUGCCUGGUGACCCAUGUUUUUCUGCCUUGAGCUCUUCAAGACAUCUAAGAAAAUAGAAAUAGCCAUAUUUGGAAAAUUUUUAAUUUAUUUUUUGGUUUAUGAAUAGGAUUAGAACUUUAAUCUUUAACCAAAUUAAGAGGUACACCUGCCAUCAGGCUAAACCUGCAGUUUUUUACUUGUUUAUUUUUGUUGUAGUGUCAUUGAUCUUAUUUUUUGUUAAACAAUUUAUGUCUGACCUCUAUUGUUUGGCAUAUGCUUUCAGAUAUAGGCAGCAAAGGAAAGCUUUUGUGAAAUGGACGCCAUGGCUACAGAGCAGUAUAUUGAAGAAGCAGUAGCUGAAAAUGAUUAUAACAGAGAGGAUAAAUCUCCUCUAGACAUCUGCAAGUCUUCUGACACUCUCGUAGAUUCCGAUGAUAGCCCCUGUAAUGGAUUCGAUUGCAAUAUUUGCCUGGAUUCUGUACAGGACCCAGUGGUGACACUUUGUGGUCACCUUUACUGCUGGCCCUGCAUGUACAAAUGGCUUCAUUUCCAGAGCAUCUCCACAGAAAACGAAGAUCUGCAGAUGCAGCAGCAAUGUCCUGUAUGCAAGGCUGAAGUUUCUGAAGACACCUUGGUUCCACUCUUUGGACGAGGCCAAACAACAAAACCCUCUAAAAGCAAAGCCCCCAAUCUGGGAAUAAUUAUUCCUAGAAGACCUCUUGGUCUUGCAUGUGGAUUUGAUUCACUAAGAUCAUCUUUUACCACAAGUAGUAAUCCACGUCCAACCCAUCAAACUUAUAAUCGUGAUUAUUCUCCUCAUCAAUCUCAACUAUACUACUCUCAGCCUGGAAUAAGUUACCCUCCUGCUUCUUCAAUGCUUACCCCACGAGUUGCAACAGCGAACAUGUACGAUCCAAUGAUAGGAAUGUUCGGGGAGAUGAUUUAUGCAAGGGUCUUUGGUAACUCCAUAACCAAUAUUUACAGCCACCCUAAUUCGUAUAAUCUUACAGGAAGCAGCAGUCCUAGAAUGAGAAGGCACAUUUUGCAGGCUGACAAGUCCCUUAGCAGAAUCUGCUUUUUCCUCUUCUGUUGUGUAUUUUUGUGUUUCCUCUCAUUUUGAUAUGUUGUUUAUAUAUAUAUAUAUAUUCACAAAGUACAUGAUAUACACAGAAUCAGCCGGAUGUAUUUGAUGCCAUAGCUAUUGCAUAUCCUGUGCUGUGCAUGCGGUAUUUGUAAUUAGUUAAAAGAGUCUUUUCUUGAGCUUAAUGAUUGAAUUAAUCUUCUCAUUUAUUUUAAUGAAGUUCAAGAGUUGGAAUAA
This 3522-nucleotide unclassified non-coding RNA is filed under the name Hevea brasiliensis (rubber tree). Lineage: Eukaryota; Viridiplantae; Streptophyta; Magnoliopsida; Malpighiales; Euphorbiaceae. The record is from RNAcentral.